UGCCAGCAGCCGCGGUAAUACGGGGGGGGCGAGCGUUGUUCGGAUUUACUGGGCGUAAAGGGCUUGUAGGCGGCGAUCUAUGUCGGUUGUGAAAUCCCCAGGCUCAACCUGGGAACUGCAGCCGAAACUGGGUCACUAGAAGCCGGGAGAGGGAUGCGGAAUUCCAGGUGUAGCGGUGAAAUGCGUAGAUAUCUGGAGGAACACCCGUGGCGAAGGCGGCAUCCUGGACCGGUCUUGACGCUGAGGAGCGAAAGCUAGGGUAGCAAACGGGAUUAGAUA
This 279-nucleotide ribosomal RNA is filed under the name uncultured bacterium. Its description in RNAcentral is "partial 16S ribosomal RNA". It matches the Rfam family "Bacterial small subunit ribosomal RNA", at positions 506 to 784 of the family's 1533-position model. The record is from RNAcentral.